CGGAAAACACUAGUCAGCGCUUUCCGAAAGUAUUACAACAACAACAAGACUUAAAACUUCAUGAUUUCACCUUAAAAUAAGCCCUUGUUUAAACCCAAAUGUACUAGCUGUCCCUGAAGUAAACAUGUCGACUUUCAGAAGUACCAGCACGUGUAGGAGCGACUCCGACCCUCCACCCGGAUCAGAAACCGCUUCAGGAUCUUAAAACGAGUCGGUUGAAUCAAGCUCAAGGGCGGGGUUUCAUCCACAACCGAUCUUUGUGUUGUGUCAGAACAAAGUGUGUUUGUAAAAAUGAGAUCUGACAUAGUUUGGAUGUAAUCAGGUCAGAAAACGUCUGCAUAUUCCGUUAUGUAUUGUGAAUAUGCGGGUUUAGUGUCAUAAACAGCCUUAACCCCAUUAGAAAUAGUUUAUUAUAACCGCACUACUUUGACUAGAUUAGUACAGAUCUGCACAUAUUAUUACUUUAUGUAAACAUCCAGAUAUAUAUAUAAAAAAAAAAACAACUAAUUUGCAUCCAAGAACAAAAAUCGGGCUAAUUCACUAUCACGUGAAUGAGUGAAUGUUUUUUCCAUCUGUUGUGUGUGUGUGUGUGUUUGUGUGUGUGUAGUUUCAUCUAACAUACUAGUAAACACUGCCAUCUACAGACUAGAUCAUGUAGAAUAAAACAUGUUAGGGUAUUUUCUCAUGUUUCCUGUUAUCAGCACCCCACAGACUCCACACACCCUGCCACCACAACAAAGAAAAACACACAUUAAGCCAGAAAUGGUCACCCAUAAGGCAUCACAUUUAAUAAAUAUAUCUCUGUGGGUCAGCAUCAUCACCGGUACAGAAGUCAAAGACCCGAAUGAGCGUUCUUCACUGUCAGCCGCUUCUUUUUCAUCACACUUUGGUACAUCUUUUUCCACACUUUUUGCCUUUUACAUUCUGCUUGUCAACAAUCACAUCUGUCAAAAGCUCCUGAGCGUCCUGAAACUAUAUCUAUACAGUGAAUAGAC
Long non-coding RNA from Sphaeramia orbicularis (orbiculate cardinalfish), 995 nucleotides. RefSeq lists it as uncharacterized. Lineage: Eukaryota; Metazoa; Chordata; Actinopteri; Kurtiformes; Apogonidae. The record is from RefSeq and is a predicted model, not a curated record. The transcript is spliced from 2 exons.